GAUGAAGAACGCAGCGAAAUGCGAUACGUAAUGUGAAUUGCAGAAUUCAGUGAAUCAUCGAAUCUUUGAACGCAUAUUGCGCUCUCUGGUAUUCCGGAGAGCAUGCUUGUUUGAGUAUCAGUAAACACCUCAACUUCCAUAUCUUUUUUGAAAUGGGAGUUGGACUUGAGUGAUCCCAACGCUUUUCCUCACCGAAAAGUGGCGGGUUACUUGAAAUGCAGGUGCAGCUGGACUUUUCUCUGAGCUAUAAGCAUAUCUAUUUAGUCUGCCUAAAAAACAGAUUAUUACCUUUGCUGCAGCUAACAUAAAGGAGAUUAGUUCUUGUGUUGACUGAUGCAGGAUUCACAAAGACAGGCUUCGGCCGACUUUGUAAACUCGAUCUCAAAUCAAGUAAGACUACCCGCUGAACUUAAGCAUAUCAUAAGCGGAGGA
Molecule: unclassified non-coding RNA, 432 nt
Filed under: soil metagenome
Description: partial contains 5.8S ribosomal RNA, internal transcribed spacer 2, and large subunit ribosomal RNA
Rfam family: 5.8S ribosomal RNA (bases 1-120)
Source: RNAcentral